Molecule: non-coding RNA, 926 nt
Organism: Prunus avium (sweet cherry)
Lineage: Eukaryota; Viridiplantae; Streptophyta; Magnoliopsida; Rosales; Rosaceae
Source: RefSeq, a predicted model, not a curated record
UCCCAAGUCCACUUCUCUCACUAUUAAUACCAUAUCAUACCAAGGCUUGAGCUCUCACGCUCCCCCAAGUACACUGCUCAACUGUGACAUUUCCUUAGUUGAUAACACUUGGGCAAAACCAAAAACAGAAGCAGAAGAUGAAGCUCUACUUUCCACUUCUUCUUCUUCUCUGUUUUCUUCUUCUUGGCUCCUCUUUGAUGGAUCCAGCCAGGGCUCAAGCUAAAUCAAAAUAUUGCAGUGACAAGUGCUCAACGAGGUGUGCAGUAGCAGGAGUUCAAGAUCGAUGCAUCAAGUAUUGUGGGAUAUGCUGUGAAGAGUGCAAGUGUGUUCCUUCUGGGACUUAUGGCAACAAGCAUGAGUGCCCUUGCUACAGAGACAAGAAGAACAAGAAGGGCAAGCCCAAGUGCCCUUGAACUCAACAUCAUCAACUAUUUCAGAGAGAGAGAGAGAGAGAGAGAUUUGGUUUGAGUGUGAGUGUGAGUGUUACUUUGGUGGUGUUUGUGUUGUAGAAAGUUUAAAAAAUCUAUGGUGAGUGUUUUAGUGAGAGAGAGUUGUGGGCUCUGCUUAGCAAGAGUUGGUUGUUGAUCAUCCUUUCUGUCUUGAUGGGUCUAGUAGUAGUUUAUGUGUGAUCGUGAUGAUUAAUGUCCAAUGGCCGUUGGAUUUGCAUAAAAUGAAUAAUAUUACUAGUUAUGCCCACUUUUAGUAAAUGCCUUGAAUAAGUUUGAUUAUUCACAUAAAUCUUGAAUAAGUGUGUAAUUAUUUUGUAAAUAAUACAUGAUCAAAACUUGCAUAUUUUGUCAUCCCAGAUUCAACCUAAGACAAGUUGUCAAUUGCUGAUAUAUUAAUGAAAGUUGGAUCCAUGUGAUAUCGGGAGAUGGGGAUUUCUUACACACACGUCAAGAUGCUGAUGGGAAUUCAACAUGAGU